CGCACUCGGUGACCCGUGUGUGACCCACACCAUCAUGGAUCAGCCCUGGAGGAGCACGAAUUGUUCCAGCACUGAGUGCAGCAAUGGGACAUGGAUGGAUGAUAGAAAUCUUGCAGUGGGAUGGUACAGAUUUAACAGUUCCGGUGGAUGGAAGAUUCCGGAGAAUGAAGUUCCAGGGGAUCACUGCUCCGGGAAGCACCCAGGCUGGUUAGCCGGUCGCCAUCCCAGUGUGGGAGACGGGGAGGUGAC
Long non-coding RNA from Amblyraja radiata (thorny skate), 249 nucleotides. RefSeq lists it as uncharacterized. The record is from RefSeq and is a predicted model, not a curated record. The transcript has 3 exons. Lineage: Eukaryota; Metazoa; Chordata; Chondrichthyes; Rajiformes; Rajidae.